This 503-nucleotide ribosomal RNA is filed under the name Cladosporium cladosporioides. RNAcentral's name for it is "eukaryotic LSU rRNA". The stretch from base 138 to 291 matches the Rfam family "5.8S ribosomal RNA". Lineage: Eukaryota; Fungi; Ascomycota; Dothideomycetes; Cladosporiales; Cladosporiaceae. The record is from RNAcentral.
CACCGGGAUGUUCAUAACCCUUUGUUGUCCGACUCUGUUGCCUCCGGGGCGACCCUGCCUUCGGGCGGGGGCUCCGGGUGGACACUUCAAACUCUUGCGUAACUUUGCAGUCUGAGUAAACUUAAUUAAUAAAUUAAAACUUUUAACAACGGAUCUCUUGGUUCUGGCAUCGAUGAAGAACGCAGCGAAAUGCGAUAAGUAAUGUGAAUUGCAGAAUUCAGUGAAUCAUCGAAUCUUUGAACGCACAUUGCGCCCCCUGGUAUUCCGGGGGGCAUGCCUGUUCGAGCGUCAUUUCACCACUCAAGCCUCGCUUGGUAUUGGGCAACGCGGUCCGCCGCGUGCCUCAAAUCGACCGGCUGGGUCUUCUGUCCCCUAAGCGUUGUGGAAACUAUUCGCUAAAGGGUGUUCGGGAGGCUACGCCGUAAAACAACCCCAUUUCUAAGGUUGACCUCGGAUCAGGUAGGGAUACCCGCUGAACUUAAGCAUAUCAAUAGGCGGAGGAA